RNAcentral lists this ribosomal RNA (344 nucleotides) under uncultured bacterium. RNAcentral describes it as "bacterial SSU rRNA". It matches the Rfam family "Bacterial small subunit ribosomal RNA", at positions 184 to 507 of the family's 1533-position model. The record is from RNAcentral.
UUAUGCUCGUACGGAAGGAAAGGUGGGGGACCCGCAAGGGCCUCACGCUAUGGGAGCGGCCGAUGUCCGAUUAGCUAGUUGGUGGGUAAAGGCCUACCAAGGCGACGAUCGGUAGCUGGUCUGAGAGGAUGAUCAGCCACACUGGGACUGAGACACGGCCCAGACUCCUACGGGAGGCAGCAGGUGGGGAAUUUUGGACAAUGGGGGCAACCCUGAUCCAGCCAUGCCGCGUGCGGGAAGAAGGCCUUCGGGUUGUAAACCGCUUUUGUUCGGGAAGAAAAGGCACGUCCUAAUACGGCGUGUUCUUGACGGUACCGGAAGAAUAAGCACCGGCUAACUACGUG